RNAcentral lists this transfer RNA (85 nucleotides) under Methanoregula formicica SMSP. RNAcentral describes it as "tRNA-Leu (TAG) (tRNA-Leu-TAG-1-1)". It matches the Rfam family "tRNA". Rfam says of the family: Transfer RNA (tRNA) molecules are approximately 80 nucleotides in length. Their secondary structure includes four short double-helical elements and three loops (D, anti-codon, and T loops). Further hydrogen bonds mediate the characteristic L-shaped molecular structure. tRNAs have two regions of fundamental functional importance: the anti-codon, which is responsible for specific mRNA codon recognition, and the 3' end, to which the tRNAs corresponding amino acid is attached (by aminoacyl-tRNA synthetases). tRNAs cope with the degeneracy of the genetic code in two manners: having more than one tRNA (with a specific anti-codon) for a particular amino acid; and 'wobble' base-pairing, i.e. permitting non-standard base-pairing at the 3rd anti-codon position. The record is from Rfam by way of RNAcentral. Lineage: Archaea; Methanobacteriati; Methanobacteriota; Methanomicrobia; Methanomicrobiales; Methanoregulaceae. RNAcentral also lists the same sequence under 2 other names.
GCGAGGAUCGCCGAGCCAGGUCAAAGGCGAUGGAUUUAGGGUCCAUUCCCGCAGGGGUUCGCCGGUUCGAAUCCGGCUCCUCGCA